This 77-nucleotide transfer RNA is filed under the name Candidatus Aerophobota bacterium. RNAcentral describes it as "Candidatus Aerophobetes bacterium tRNA-His". It matches the Rfam family "tRNA". From Rfam's summary of the family: Transfer RNA (tRNA) molecules are approximately 80 nucleotides in length. Their secondary structure includes four short double-helical elements and three loops (D, anti-codon, and T loops). Further hydrogen bonds mediate the characteristic L-shaped molecular structure. tRNAs have two regions of fundamental functional importance: the anti-codon, which is responsible for specific mRNA codon recognition, and the 3' end, to which the tRNAs corresponding amino acid is attached (by aminoacyl-tRNA synthetases). tRNAs cope with the degeneracy of the genetic code in two manners: having more than one tRNA (with a specific anti-codon) for a particular amino acid; and 'wobble' base-pairing, i.e. permitting non-standard base-pairing at the 3rd anti-codon position. The record is from RNAcentral. Lineage: Bacteria; Candidatus Aerophobota.
GCGAUCGUAGCUCAGUUGGUUAGAGCGCUGGAUUGUGAUUCCAGAGGUCGCGGGUUCAACCCCCGUCGUUCGCCCCA